CGAAAGCCUGACGGAGCAACGCCGCGUGAGGGAUGAAGGCCUCUGGGCUGUAAACCUCUUUUAUCAAGGAAGAAGAUCUGACGGUACUUGAUGAAUAAGCCACGGCUAAUUCCGUGCCAGCAGCCGCGGUAAUACGGGAGUGGCAAGCGUUAUCCGGAAUUAUUGGGCGUAAAGCGUCCGCAGGCGGUCUUGUAAGUCUGUUGUCAAAGCGUGGAGCUUAACUCCAUUUCGGCAAUGGAAACUGCAAGACUAGAGUGUGGUAGGGGCAGAGGGAAUUCCCGGUGUAGCGGUGAAAUGCGUAGAUAUCGGGAAGAACACCAGUGGCGAAG
Molecule: ribosomal RNA, 329 nt
Filed under: uncultured bacterium
Lineage: Bacteria
Description: bacterial SSU rRNA
Rfam family: Bacterial small subunit ribosomal RNA
Source: RNAcentral